GAGAUUAGUGUGUGUAUAAGAGGUAAUGUUCCUCUCAUGUUCCCACCGAGUUGGCACUUUACCCUACCACUUGAAAAAUACACCAUGAAGUCUUAAAAUGUCAAGAUUAUUUCAGCAAUCUUCCCCUUGAUGGUCCCAUUAAUUGUGUUUUAUGUUUUGGACCCUUUAAUAAUAUUGUACCGAGUUACCACUUUUGUGCGCUUUACAAGG
Molecule: long non-coding RNA, 210 nt
Filed under: Elaeis guineensis (African oil palm)
Lineage: Eukaryota; Viridiplantae; Streptophyta; Magnoliopsida; Arecales; Arecaceae
Description: long non-coding RNA (EGUI_LNC015547)
Source: RNAcentral